GGCGGCAUGCCUAAUACAUGCAAGUCGAAUGAGAAGCUUGCUUCUCAUGGCGAACGGGUGAGUAACACGUAGGUAACCUGCCUUACACUCGAGGAUAACCGUGGAAACGACGGAUAAUACUGGAUAGGACAGAGAUUCGCAUGAGACUCUGUUUAAAAGCAAUGGUGUAUGAGGGGCCUGCGGUGCAUUAGCUAGUUGGUGAGGUAACGGCUCACCAAGGCGAUGAUGCAUAGCUGGACUGAGAGGUUGAACAGCCACAAUGGGACUGAGAACGGCCCAUACUCCUACGGGAGGCAGCAGUAGGGAAUUUUCGGCAAUGGGGGAAACCCUGAACCCGAGCAAUGCCGCGUGAACGAUGAAGUAUUUCGGUAUGUAAAGUUCUUUUAUUAGGAAAGAUAGUGACGGUACCUAAUGAAUAAGCUCCGGCUAACUACGUGCCAGCCGCUGC
RNAcentral lists this ribosomal RNA (448 nucleotides) under uncultured bacterium. RNAcentral's name for it is "bacterial SSU rRNA". It matches the Rfam family "Bacterial small subunit ribosomal RNA", at positions 38 to 518 of the family's 1533-position model. The record is from RNAcentral.